This 68-nucleotide transfer RNA is filed under the name Solivomer arenidens. RNAcentral describes it as "tRNA-Phe". It matches the Rfam family "tRNA". Rfam says of the family: Transfer RNA (tRNA) molecules are approximately 80 nucleotides in length. Their secondary structure includes four short double-helical elements and three loops (D, anti-codon, and T loops). Lineage: Eukaryota; Metazoa; Chordata; Actinopteri; Myctophiformes; Neoscopelidae. The record is from RNAcentral.
GCUCGUGUAGCUUAAUCAAAGCAUAACACUGAAGAUGUUAAGAUGGGCCCUAGAAAGCCUCACAGGCA